Molecule: long non-coding RNA, 550 nt
Organism: Olea europaea var. sylvestris
Lineage: Eukaryota; Viridiplantae; Streptophyta; Magnoliopsida; Lamiales; Oleaceae
Exons: 3
Source: RefSeq, a predicted model, not a curated record
UUUACCUUUUUUUAAUUUUUCUAAAUAGGCAACCAAAGACCGACGUAUCCUUCCUCCAAACCGAAGAGAGUAGAUUGGGAUAAACUAGAAGCUCAAGUGAAAAAUGAGGAAAAAGAAGAGAAACUAGAUGGUGAUGCAGCUUUGAACAAAUUUUUCAGAGACAUAUACACAGACGCAGAUGAGGACGCGAGAAGAGCGAUGAGCAAAUCUUUUGUCGAGUCAAAUGGGACAGUGCUAUCCACAAACUGGAAAGAAGUGGGUUCAAAGAAGGUGGAAGGAAGCCCUCCCGAUGGCAUGGAGUUGAAGCAAUGGGAAUACUGAAUUAUAGCUCUAUUUAUAUGUUUUGUGACGAUUGUGUGCUCGAACUUUUUCGUAGUUUUACUUGAAUCUAAGUCAAUUAUUUCUUUUUAUUAGUACAAAACUGUAUUUUCUGAACCAUUUAGGAUAGGCUAUGAACUUUGAAUAGUUGAUUAUUCUGGUGUGUGACAUUGAUGGUGAUUUUGUGUAUCUCUUGAUGCUGUUGGAUUGCCUUUCUAGAGAGAUUCGUGUA